This 170-nucleotide ribosomal RNA is filed under the name uncultured bacterium. RNAcentral's name for it is "partial 16S ribosomal RNA". It matches the Rfam family "Bacterial small subunit ribosomal RNA", at positions 336 to 526 of the family's 1533-position model. The record is from RNAcentral.
CUCCUACGGGAGGCAGCAGUGGGGAAUUUUGCGCAAUGGGGAAACCCUGACGCAGCAACGCCGCGUGGAGGAUGAAGCCCUUGGGGUGUAAACUCCUUUCGAUCGGGGAGAUUAUGACGGUACCGAUAUAAGAAGCCCGGCUAACUUCGUGCCAGCAGCCGCGGUAAUAC